This is a long non-coding RNA of Lagopus leucura (white-tailed ptarmigan), 1339 nucleotides long. RefSeq lists it as uncharacterized. The record is from RefSeq and is a predicted model, not a curated record. NCBI's taxonomy places the organism in Eukaryota, Metazoa, Chordata, Aves, Galliformes, Phasianidae. The transcript has 5 exons.
CUACGGCUGCCAUGUUGAGUGAGGGCAGCCCGACAGGACCUCGGUGGUGCCGCCUUAUGAGGUGGUUUGACUUCUAAUUCUUGAGGGCUAGGGUAACGCUUUUUUGCAUAGGAAAUUGUUUAUCGUAAGAUUUUGCUCCUUUGAAGUUUACGGGGAAGCAGUCUGAUCCUGUAUUUAUGAUCCCAUAAUCCUGUUUUCAAAUCCGUCUCUGGAACAGACGGGGCGAUCACCGUUCCACCUUUCACGUCUCUGUGUGACCAGAGGGUAAACGUCUUGAACUUCAGAGUCUGCAAGCCACCUGAUCCCGGGGGAGUCCCCAGGGCCUGUCUGCGUCCAGCUGAAACCUCAGUUCUUAAGCGUCGGGAUCUGCCAGAGUUCCCUCCUUCAAAGAGUAGGAAUACGAGACCACCCAGAAAUGAGGGCUGAAUACCACGACGUCAACAUUCCCUGUGCUGCUUGCAACCCAUCAGCCAAAGGCUUCUGAAUAGCUCCCUUUCUGAGAAGACCUCAAACACAGGAUAUGUGUGCUUGUGAACGGAGAUCAGGCAGGAUCAGGGAAAGCAGGAGAGAGAUGGACACUUUGGUCUGUAAAUGCAUCAGCUCUUCAUCCUGGAAAGUGAAGUUUUUCUUCUUACUGGCUUCCUUUCCACACAAGCCAGUAUGAGCCAUGCAGCUUUCAGAGGAUACCCUUAGAGACAACAGCCCAGUUCAUCGGCACAGGCGUGAAGAACUGCACACAGAGAAGGAACAGCCUUCCUACUAUGGUUGUGUCCAGAGCCGGCUGUCACUUCUCCACACAGACGAUGGCACCUGAGCCGGUUUGGAAUCUACAGUUCUAACAAGUUCAGCCAAGUUUUGUAAGCUGAAGAUCUCCAUUUAUCUUUAUCGUGUCAAUUGCUGACAGUGUUUCAAUACGGUGGUAAAAAUCAAAGAGCUGAUGUCCAUCCACAAAUAUUCUAAAACGGGGAUGCUCACAAAGUAUCUCAACCUGUAAAAAAUAAAAUGAUGAACCAUGUUCACAACAUAACUGGGAAGAUCUUUCACAGGAUGCAAAGAGCACCUUUAAAGCAGCACUGGUAUGGCUACACAUCUUGCUACUUGCACGCCAUGUAACAGAGAAAGCUGAGCCCACUUUGCCCCCAUGACCCCAGUUCCACUACAAGGGAUCUGCUCUCACUUCUCAGAGAUGUUAAUCCAGUCUCACACUGUCACAGUAGGGAGAAGCCCCAAACCCUGAUGCACAACUCUGCAGAUUAUGGUCCUGCUGGCACCAAGGAGGUUUUCUCUCUGUGAAUAAUGCCAGAAGCAAACUGCUAAUUAAAGGUAUAUCCAACCCAAA